Nelumbo nucifera (sacred lotus) is the source of this 6210-nucleotide non-coding RNA. Lineage: Eukaryota; Viridiplantae; Streptophyta; Magnoliopsida; Proteales; Nelumbonaceae. The record is from RefSeq and is a predicted model, not a curated record.
AAACUGUUGUAACCUUUGGUAGCUCAAUAAAAUCCCCUUGGCUUGUGUGAGAUGACUUGAAACAAAGCAAUAAAUGCCAAAGCAAUCAAAAAAUAAGAAACCAACAUCCGACUUUUACUCGGUCCGCCGCCUUAGCCUUCAAUUCACCUCAAACACCCGGUUAGACCCAUCUCAAUCCUUUAUUUUUUACCCAAAGUCUCAGCUAUCCAUCCAGAGCCCUGAUUUGACCACCCCUAGACUGGUCUGACCCAAUUUUUUUAAAAUUACAAAGAUAUACCCGAAUUUCCUAAAUUUACAAAACUACCCUUAGCCUAAUAUAAAAUUUAACCUAAACUCUUCAUUUGGGCGAAUGCACUAUUCACUCUCUUCCUCCCAUGACACACAGCGAAUGCACAAAACUACCCAAAGUCUCCAACCAUCGGCGGCGGCACCCCCAAACCACUCUCUUCUUUCUUCUUCUUCUUCCUCCUCCUUCCUCUGUUUUCGUCUUUGUCAGAAGCAGUGGCGGUUUCUCCGCCCGCCCGUACUCCCUCUCUUUCUUCUCCUUUUCCCUUUCUUCUUCUACUUCUUCCUCUUUCUUUUUCUUUCUUGGAUUCACCCUCCCCUGUUACUCCCUGCCGCUGCAACUUCGAGCAGCGGCGGUUGCACUGUUCAUUCUUUCCCUUCUCCUUCUUACCAUUGCUGUCAAGACCGAAAAUCGACCAGAUGCACCAUCGUCCCUCUCUCUCUCAUCUAGAUUAAACCAACGUUUGCUCAACUCUGAGACGGCGGCUGCGAGAAGAGGUUCCAACAUCGAGUAACAGUGGCCACCUCCGGCCAGAUCUCUCUAUUACUCUCUCCUCCUUCUCAUAGGUUCCCUGUCUUUCAGCCGAAUCUACCGAUCGCCUUCUACUUUUGGACAUCGAGCAAAGGCGGCGGCAACCUUCAUCUACCUUCUGUUUUUUACCUGUUCGAGAUCCCAAGCACCAGGAGGAGCGGCACCCUUCUCCGGCGAUCAAAUUCUGACUAAAAUCCAUUCCCUGAUUGUCAUUGUCAUUGUCAUUCAAAGAGAAAGCUCCGAGACAUGAAUCCUCCAUUGUAGCACUUCACAUAGAGGCAAUACUCCUUCUGGCUCCAUUGUUAUGUGUUACGUUGUUUUCUUUGUUUUCUCGUCGGUUGUUCCACAUCUGCAGCUAGGAGGAGAGAGACCGGGCUAAUCAGACUCUUGUAUCUCUCGGUACCAACGCAGAUCCACUGUUCACUUAUUGAGAUAGCUGCUUUUCUAACUCAAUCAAUCACUUAUUUAGAAGAAGAAUCUCUGGUUUUUUAUUGCUGUUUUGUUUUUCUGGUUCUUAUUACUGUUCUGUUUUUCUUUCCGAAUCAACGUUUUGGAUGUUAAUUAGUUCCGAUUGAAUGGAGAAGAUUGAUUUGUGCCACCUCUUGUUAGUUCUCUUGUUAGUCUCUUGUAGUCUUGUAGAUAGUUCCUUGUUAGUCUCUUCUUAUAACAAUUGUUGGUUGACGGUCAUUUUAGAUUAUGGUUACUUAAUUUGGACUAUUUAAUUGCUGAAUUGAUAUAUUAAAUGAGCAUAAAUUGUUUGUGUUUGGAAAUUCAUGUGGGUCCCAUUUAUUGGAUCAGGGAGAGGGGUGCCUAAUCACUUCACUCUCCCAUCAUAGACUUACCCGGAUUGGUUGGAUGGAUGCCUUAGGUUGUGGGAAUUCUUAUUGAGCCAAAACUAUUUUAAAUCAUUCUCGGAGGUCCCAUCACUUCCAUUUCUUAAUCUGAUGGAUGACAAUUCUAUUUUUAGCUCAAGAGGCAAGUGAACCAAUUUUUCUGACGCUCACAACCAUUACAAAAAACAAUAGAAAAAUUAAACUAGAAUCACAAUAAAAUAAUAGAAAAACUAAAUCAGAAAAUCUGGAACAAUGAGUUCCCAACAACAAAUCAAAAAUCAAAAACUAACUAGAAUCACAAUUAUUGCAGACUUGGAACAAAUCAAAAAUAAAAAAUAACAUCAAUGAGUUCCCAACAACAAAAAACACAGAUUUGUUUCCCAACAUUAACAGCAGAACUGAGUUCCCAACAACAAAAAAUGGCAGAUCUAUUAUAAACACAACAAAAAACGCUAGAACUAAUGAGUUCCAAUGUUAAAAUUCCAGAUCUGGUGCUAAGAAUUGGAAUGGUGAGAUGACGCCAGAGAUGCUAGAAAAAAUGUUGUAUCUGAAGGAGGAAUUCGUUCAACGAAAGAAAACGACAAUGAGAUGAAGGGGGAAUUCAUAAACGAAAGAAGACAAAAAUGAUACAAAAAUGAAUUGAAAUCGCAACGGGAUGCUAGAUCCGAGCUUACCUUUGAAAGAAAUCGUCGAAGAUGGCGUCAAAGAGAUGACAGUUGGAUGGCAUGUAGGAAGAACACGACUGUCUUCGAGGUGCUCUCAAUAAUAUUUUCUCACGAAUGGCCAAGUUUUCUUUUCCCAGCGGGUUCUCACCAUUUUGGUGUAACCCUGUGCAUCGAGUUUUGGGAACCCGUGUCCCACCUCUUUCUCUUUCAAUCCUAGCUUUUCCUUCAAAACAAACACAUGUAAAAUCAAAUAUUCUUUAAAGAUGCUUCCCAUCCCAUCCUUUUCUCAACAACCAAAUGGACCAUUAGUGUUCCAAUUUAAAUUGAGUCAACAUUUCGAACCUAAAACAUAUUGGAUCCAAUAAUCAGGGAGUUGAUGAUUCAAUUACACCUACUUUUUUCUUCAAACCAAACACAGCCUAAGGGCAAGGUCUCGAGCCCAAAUUGAUGAAUGGAUAAGUGCAAUAACCAACAGACCUCUCAUAAACUCUUUUAUAAGAGAAUGAACGAUGAUGGCUAAAAGACACUAAAUUAGAUCAUCAAUAGCCAUUUGAAGCAAGGUUUUUAACCUGUCAUUGACCCGGGUGGCCAAACCAUUUGAACCGUCACCCAAUCUCAUAAAGCCCGGUAUUUUCAUAAAAACCACUAACAAGUCAACGAACUGGAUGACCUGGACGGGAACUGGCGAUCCGGUAAGCGGGCGACAAUUUGACUGUCGACCCAUUCUCUUUUUACAUUUUUAGGUUUAAAAAUUGUAAAAUCCCUCAAAAGUCCCAACUCGAGCCCCCUUCUAUUUUUACAUUUUUCCUCACUUUCUCUGUUCUAGAUCUAGGGUUUAUGCAAGAUUUAGAACAGGAGAGGACGAACUCAUGAAGAAGACAGAUGACUGAAGAAGAUCGAUGGAAUCUGAUCUUCAGUCACCGGCGGCACCUAGCUAAACGCCAUCCUCAUUCCUCACAUUUGGGCGAUGCUAUCGGCUAUUCUUCUUUGUUUGGGUGACACUAGACCGCCGAGUUUGGGGCUUUGGGUGACACUAGUUUGGAUGACUGACGACACAACAUCACAGGCUUCAUAGCUUUCUUUGUCGCCAGUGAGCGACAACUGUAUCAACUAUCGAACUUCCAUAAUCGGAGUUCAAAGAGGUGGGUUAUUGCUGCAACUACAACCUAGAAGGUUGAAAGUUGGAACCCGAAUUCGAUUUUGGACUUUGGAGCUUGAAGUGGAAUUUUACAACAAUUUUGAAGAGGAAAAUAGAAGAGAAAGAAGUUAGAAUGUCAACGUACACCUACAACUUCACAUUCACAAUUAGCAGCAACUUCUACUUCUUCAACUGCAAAUGGUAGGGGAAAAUCUGAUCCUGCAUGGGAGCAUGUUUCCCUUCAAGUAGACCCUACUAAUGGGUCAAAAAAAUUGGCAUGCCUUUAUUGCCAAAAGUCAUGAAAUUCCAUAUGAUGUCAAGUUCAAAAUGGAACAAUUAUUGGAUGAAAAUAAUCAGAAAAGAAAAGGUGAUAAUAAAUUUCAAUGCUCUAGUGAGGGAAGUAGCUCUUUUUCUCAUCUUGGAAUUGAUGAUGAUGAUGAUGAUGAUGAUGAUGAAUUAUUGUAUGGUGAUGGUGAUGAUGAUGAUGUUCAAGCCCAAGAAAUGCCUCCAUUUGCUUCAAAUCAAGGGGGUAUUGCCAAUAAAGUAAAAAAAAAAAAAAACGAAACUUGCCACCACAGAAAGGGAAAAGCAGUACUUGGGUUGAUAACAAGUCAUUUUGCUCCACAAAUUACACCUGGAGCACAACUAGGAAUCAAAAGUGCACUUGCUUCCAAUGGGGCAAGGUUGAAUGCUGAUUGUUGUGUUAUGAGGUGGAUGUGUGAUGCAUGUAUACUUUUGAAUGCCAUAAAUUCACAAUAUUUUGAACAUAUGGUAGAUGCAAUUGUCGAUAUAGGUCCGGGGUAUAAAGCUCAUUCUUAUCAUAAUUGUAGAACACGCUUAUUGGGUCCUUUGGUUAAAGAAGUUGAGCUAUUUGUUGAAAGUCUUUGUAGUCAAUGGGAGGGAUUUGGUUGUUCUGUAAUUGUUGAUGGUUGGACAGAUAUAAGGAACACGACAGAUUAAUUUUUUAGUAUAUUGUCCAAGAGUAACUGCAUUUAUCAAAUCAAUUGAUACUUCUGACACAAUUAAGAUUGCAGAAAAUUUAUUUCUCUUGUUGAAAGAGGUUAUAAAUUGGGUUGGAGCUUCUAAUGUUGUUCACAUCACCAUUGACACAAUUAAGACUGCAAAUUGCUUGAACUUGAUGCUAAAAGAAUUUGGAGAAACGGAUUAUAUUGCUGAUGUGGUGCGACGUGCAUUUAAAAUAACAAAAUUUGUAUACAACCACAUACUUGUCUUGUCUAUGUUAAGGAAGUGACCUACUUGGACUGAGAUUGUGCAUCCCAGAGCCACCCAUUUUGUUACAAAUUUCAUUGCUUUGGAUAGUAUUUUGAUGCAUAUGGUUGAUUUGCAAAGUUUAGCUAUUGAUCCAACUUUCUAGGAAUCUAGGUAUGCAAGAGAUGCCAAGGAAAAAGAAGUCAUAAGCAUAAUAUUGAACAAUGAGUUUUGGAAAUCAUGCGAGAUAUUGUAGGAUUUACUUUACCGAUUGUCAAAGCAUUACCACUUGCAGAUUCUGAAGUUGAGCUUCCAAUAUAUAUAUAUAUAUAUAUAUAUAUAUUCAAUGUUGAAGGUGAAAGAAGCGGUUAAACAAUCAUUUAACAACAAGAAAAUCGAAUAUAGCCCGAUCAUGCAAGUUAUUGAUAAAAGAUGGAAAAAACAAAUAGGUCACAAGCUUCAUGCAACAAGUUAUUAUUUUAACCCAUUAUUUCACUAUGACCCAAAGUCAACGGCAAAAUCCCCAAUCAUCAUGUUAGGUGUUGUUGAUGUGCUUGAAAAGUUAUGUAGAGAAGAAGGAACAGAGAGAAAUGUCAACAAAGAGCUUUCAAUGUUAGAGUGUGGUUUGGGUGAUUUUGGAAGGCCAUAUGCAUUGAAUGCUAUCAAGAGAAUGGAUCCAAUGAAUGGUGAAUGAGGUUUGGUUGUCACACUCCAACUCUUAGAGAAGUUCCUAUGAAGGUUCUUAGCCAAACUUGUAGCUCUUCUAGAUGUGUGCGUAAUUGGAGCGUUUUUGAACAUGUACACACAAAGAGAAGAAACAUGUUAGAGCACCAAAGGCUCAAUGACCUUGUGUAUAUCCACUAUAACCUCCGCUUGAAGAAUAGGAAGAAGAUGAAAGGCUAUGAUCCCAUUAAGGUGGAACAUGUUGACAUCACAGGAGAAUUAGGUAGUGGAUGAUGUUGAAGAGCCUCCAUUGCUUGAUAAAGAUGAAUUAGAAAAUAGGUUCAAGGGGAAUGGUGCAACAACUCCAAUCACGGAGGUGUUAGAGAUAUCAAAGAAAAAAGGUUCUAGGGAAGAAGAUGAUGAUGAUGAUUAAGAUUUUCUUCUUGAGCCAUUGGGAGAUACGCAAGUUAAUGAAAAUGACCCAAAUGAAGUUGAAGAUGAUAAAACACAGCCGAGUGAUGAAGAUGAAACCCAAUUAUGAUAGCAAUCAUGUUCAUUAUGAGAUUGUGCUGUUAUUAACUUUUUACUCUUUGUGUUUUCUUGGGAGUUUGGACUUUGGAUUAUAGAUUAUGUAGUUAAGAACAAUUUUUCACUUUUAGGUUUUACCUUUUAUUGAUCUAAGAACUUUGAUUGUCUAUGGGCUUAUGACAGCCAUGGAGCUUGUUUGAUUUUUUUUUUUUUAAUUUUUAUAGAAUAUGAUUUUUUUUCUUUUUAGGAUAAGAAAUUACAGGUUUAUGAGGUUAUGGCAGCCAUGAGAGCUUGAUGCUUGCAUGCUCAAAGUUCAACAUUUGAACUUCAUCUUUAAAGGUAUGAAUUUCACCCCCA